UCUAUCAGCCGGGUUAUCGCUCUCCCGCCCUUGGCGGGAGGGAGGAAAGUCCGGACAGCACAGAGCAACACACCGGUUAACGGCCGGUCCCGACCCCUGGUUGGGAAGACAGUGCCACAGAAAAUUACCGUCCCGUCUCGCCCCAGGCGAGACGGGGUAAGGGUGAAAACGUGAGGUAAGAGCUCACGGGUUUUUGCAGCAAUGCAAUGACCGGGUAAACCUUGUGUGCUGUAAUGCCACGUAAAUCAGCGUUUGAGGGCGGCUCGCCCGAUGCUGAAGGGUAGGCAGCAAGAUCCAUGCAGUAAUGCAUGGGCCAGAUAAAUGAUGACCAUCCGCCAACCGGCGGAGACAGAAUCCGGCUUACAGGCUGAUAGAUUUU
RNAcentral lists this RNase P RNA (379 nucleotides) under Chitinophagaceae bacterium. RNAcentral describes it as "RNase P RNA component class A". It matches the Rfam family "Bacterial RNase P class A". Rfam says of the family: Ribonuclease P (RNase P) is a ubiquitous endoribonuclease, found in archaea, bacteria and eukarya as well as chloroplasts and mitochondria. Its best characterised activity is the generation of mature 5'-ends of tRNAs by cleaving the 5'-leader elements of precursor-tRNAs. Cellular RNase Ps are ribonucleoproteins. RNAcentral also lists the same sequence under 1 other name. Lineage: Bacteria; Pseudomonadati; Bacteroidota; Chitinophagia; Chitinophagales; Chitinophagaceae. The record is from RNAcentral.